AUUAAGCACCCCGCCUGGGGAGUACGGUCGCAAGACUAAAACUCAAAGGAAUUGACGGGGGCCCGCACAAGCGGCGGAGCAUGCGGAUUAAUUCGAUGCAACGCGAAGAACCUUACCAAGGCUUGACAUAUAGAGGAAAAGCGUAGAAAUACGCUCCCCGCAAGGUCUCUAUACAGGUGGUGCAUGGUUGUCGUCAGCUCGUGUCGUGAGAUGUUGGGUUAAGUCCCGCAACGAGCGCAACCCUCGUCCUAUGUUGCCAGCACGUAAUGGUGGGAACUCAUGGGAGACUGCCGGGGUCAACUCGGAGUAAGUUGGGGAUGACGUCAAAUCAUCAGGCCCCUUAUGUCUUGGGCUUCACGCAUGCUACAAUGGCCAGUACAAAGGGCUGCGAUACCGUAAGGUGGAGCGAAUCCCAUAAAGCUGUUCUCAGUUCGGAUUGAGGUCUGCAACUCGACCUCAUGAAGUCGGAGUCGCUAGUAAUCGUAGAUCAGCAACGCUACGGUGAAUACGUUCCCGGGCAUUGUACACACCGCCCGUCAAGUCACGAAAGU
RNAcentral lists this ribosomal RNA (551 nucleotides) under uncultured Actinomycetes bacterium. RNAcentral's name for it is "bacterial SSU rRNA". It matches the Rfam family "Bacterial small subunit ribosomal RNA", at positions 859 to 1411 of the family's 1533-position model. The record is from RNAcentral. Lineage: Bacteria; Bacillati; Actinomycetota; Actinomycetes.